ACAGAAGUACAUCUGUUUUGAAGGCCAACUGACCUACAUUUCGUUUUUGGAAUGUGUUGUCAAAAAGUUCAACAUCCCAACCUUGGACCUAAAAGUCUUUGAUGACUCAAAGACUGAAGUUGAUGAGGAGGUUUUUGAUUUCCUUUUGAAUAAACCAAACCUUGGUGUGCUGGAAAUUUGUCUAGCACAAGAUCAAAAUCCAGAAGAUGAUUUUAUGGAUCAGCUGAGUUGUCCUGCAAGCAGCUCCUUUACCAGCUCCAGUGGAGAAACUGAAGUGGACUCUGAUGGCACCAUCACAUUGCAACC
Molecule: long non-coding RNA, 306 nt
Organism: Archocentrus centrarchus (flier cichlid)
Lineage: Eukaryota; Metazoa; Chordata; Actinopteri; Cichliformes; Cichlidae
Exons: 3
Source: RefSeq, a predicted model, not a curated record